GACGAACGCUGGCGGCGUGCUUAACACAUGCAAGUCGAGCGGAGCGGCGAACGGGUGAGUAACGCGUGAGUAACUGCCCCCCUCUCUGGGAUAACAGUUAGAAACGGCUGCUAAUACCGGAUAGUGGGGGCUGACUCGCGGCCUAUCAGCUUGUUGGUGGGGUAGGUGCCUACCAAGGAGACGACGGGUAGCCGGCCUGAGAGGGCGACCGGCCAAAGUGGGCUGAGAUGUGGCCCAAACUCCGACGGGAGGCAGCAGUGGGGAAUAGUGCACAAUGGGGGAAACCCUGAUGCAGCAACGCCGCGUGCGGGAUGACGGCCUUCGGGUUGUAAACCGCUUUCAGCCAUGACGGGGUAGUGGCAGAAGAAGCACCGGCUAACUACGUGCCAGCAGCCGCGGUAAUAC
This 405-nucleotide ribosomal RNA is filed under the name uncultured bacterium. RNAcentral's name for it is "partial 16S ribosomal RNA". It matches the Rfam family "Bacterial small subunit ribosomal RNA", at positions 28 to 526 of the family's 1533-position model. The record is from RNAcentral.